This 22-nucleotide small nuclear RNA is filed under the name Arabidopsis thaliana (thale cress). RNAcentral describes it as "snRNA_17674". Lineage: Eukaryota; Viridiplantae; Streptophyta; Magnoliopsida; Brassicales; Brassicaceae. The record is from RNAcentral.
UUGCACAUGGGUUAGUCGAUCC